Molecule: long non-coding RNA, 508 nt
Organism: Salvia miltiorrhiza (redroot sage)
Lineage: Eukaryota; Viridiplantae; Streptophyta; Magnoliopsida; Lamiales; Lamiaceae
Exons: 2
Source: RefSeq, a predicted model, not a curated record
CGAGUUGAGAGUUAAGUCGAUAAUAGGACGUGUGAAUCCUUAGAAGCCGAGUAUACCUAGGGAUUGAGUUUUAAUGGGUAAAUAGACGUUGAGUAAGAAGUUAUAGUUAAGAUGAGUUUGGAUUUAGAGAUUGAGUUUCUGACUAAGGUUUGUUUUAUCACAUGAACUUUCGAUGACGAUGACGAUGUGAUGAUGACAUAUGAAGGCCCGAGCGAGACGAAGAAGUAAGUUGCCUGAUUUCUUUCCAGGAUUAGCAAAGGACUUCAGGCUAAGCGAGGAGCGAGAUUGGUCUGGUGCUGGUGGGGAAAUUGUUGAAGGAUGUAUUUACUUUAUCGUAUUUCCAUUUUGACGAUAAAGUCUUGAUGAUUGAUAUACUUUGAUUUUCUCUUGAAUUUAAGCAAUGUACUCACGGUUAUAUGUCUUCAUACAUAUAAUCGGUUCGCCUUUUGCUGCGAUACUCUGCAUAUUAUGAUUCCUUGCGAAAAAUGAGCGAUACCCGUUUUGUUUU